CAGAAUGCCGUGGUGUCAUGUUUGCUGAGGAGGUGAUACCCAGGUCCUUUCUGAACGGUUCCUGACUGGAGCAGCAAGAAAUGAGGCAGCUGGAUUUCACAGAGUUUUGGUAACCUUGGAGAAACAAGUUACAGCAACCAUCAGCCCAGGCGACAAAUUUGCAAGCAGGCCAGGGUGUAAGCGGGAGGAUCUGAUCUGAGGUAUUUCUACUGGAAGAAAAUUCUGAAAUUUCAAAAUGGCAGAGUCUUCCAGAAGUGGAAAUACAUUGGUUGAGAGGAAGCGUAAGAUCCCAAACUGCAGAGGUAAAAUGAGAAUCGAUGCCACCUUAGAACUUGCAAAAGAAGUUGAAACAAACAGUAGGGUUUUUUAGCCAUGAAAACUAGAUAAGAGCGAGGAAAGUCACCGUGUCAUUGGGUAGAGGGAGGAUGAGUUUAAGGAUAGCAUAAAUGCUUUCAAAAAAUUAGAUGAUUUUGUGCCUCAGUGUUCAAUUUGGACAAUGACUCUGAACUUGGAUGGGAGAAAAUUGGCUUUAUGGGAGUGAAUUUGGAAGGAUGGAAAUGAUGCCUUUUGAGGUAGAAGUAAAAAUCAAAAUCAAGGAGUGCUGUUUCAGGGGAUCUGCGUCACUGUAGUCUGAAGGAAUUGGCAUUUGAAACUGCAUUUCUACUUGAAGGAUAUUUAGGAAUAUGUUAAAGUGGGAGUGGUAUGCGAAAUUUCAGACAUGAUUCCUAUAUUUAAGAUAGGAGAAAACUGUCAUCUAGUUAAGCAUAGGCAUAUUAGCGUGACAUCAGUAGCAUGCAAGGCAUUGCAGUGAUUUUGGAAAGAAGAGCAACAGAAAACACAGCAAAUGGAAGA
Long non-coding RNA from Anas platyrhynchos (mallard), 852 nucleotides. RefSeq lists it as uncharacterized. The record is from RefSeq and is a predicted model, not a curated record. NCBI's taxonomy places the organism in Eukaryota, Metazoa, Chordata, Aves, Anseriformes, Anatidae.